AGUGAACGCUGGCGGUAGGCCUAACACAUGCAAGUCGAACGGCAGCACAGUAAGAGCUUGCUCUUACGGGUGGCGAGUGGCGGACGGGUGAGGAAUACAUCGGAAUCUACUUUUUCGUGGGGGAUAACGUAGGGAAACUUACGCUAAUACCGCAUACGACCUACGGGUGAAAGCAGGGGAUCUUCGGACCUUGCGCGAUUGAAUGAGCCGAUGUCGGAUUAGCUAGUUGGCGGGGUAAAGGCCCCCCAAGGCGACGAUCCGUAGCUGGUCUGAGAGGAUGAUCGGCCACACUGGAACUGAGACACGGUCCAGACUCCUACGGGAGGCAGCAGUGGGGAAUAUUAGACAAUGGGCGCAAGCCUGAUCCAGCCAUACCGCGUGGGUGAAGAAGGCCUUCGGGUUGUAAAGCCCUUUUGUUGGGAAAGAAAAGCAGCAGGUUAAUACCCCGCUGUUCUGACGGUACCCAAAGAAUAAGCACCGGCUAACUUCGUG
This 492-nucleotide ribosomal RNA is filed under the name uncultured bacterium. RNAcentral describes it as "partial 16S ribosomal RNA". It matches the Rfam family "Bacterial small subunit ribosomal RNA", at positions 29 to 507 of the family's 1533-position model. The record is from RNAcentral.